Molecule: small RNA, 28 nt
Filed under: Bombyx mori (domestic silkworm)
Lineage: Eukaryota; Metazoa; Arthropoda; Insecta; Lepidoptera; Bombycidae
Description: piRNA piR-bmo-1373801
Source: RNAcentral
UGUAUGAUUGUGUGAUAAAUGAAUGUGU